UUACUUUGGCAGAUUAGUGUAUUUGAUUUAGAAUCAUUUUAAGUAAAAAUUUUACAGGUAAUAN
Molecule: transfer RNA, 64 nt
Filed under: Lygistopterus sp. UPOL MT0038
Lineage: Eukaryota; Metazoa; Arthropoda; Insecta; Coleoptera; Lycidae
Also listed under: 1 other name
Description: tRNA-Leu
Source: RNAcentral